This 21-nucleotide non-coding RNA is filed under the name Caenorhabditis elegans. The record is from RNAcentral. Lineage: Eukaryota; Metazoa; Nematoda; Chromadorea; Rhabditida; Rhabditidae.
UCGAAGCAAUCGAACUCACAG